CCUACGGGUGGCAGCAGUGGGGAAUAUUGGACAAUGGGCGAAAGCCUGAUCCAGCCAUGCCGCGUGUGUGAAGAAGGCCUUCGGGUUGUAAAGCACUUUCAGUGGGGAAGAAAGCCUUGGGGCUAAUACCCUCGAGGAAGGACAUCACCCACAGAAGAAGCACCGGCUAACUCCGUGCCAGCAGCCGCGGUAAUACGGAGGGUGCGAGCGUUAAUCGGAAUUACUGGGGCGUAAAGCGCGCGUAGGCGGUCUGAUAAGCCGGUUGUGAAAGCCCCGGGCUCAACCUGGGAACGGCAUCCGGAACUGGUCAGGUAGGGUGCAGGAGAGGAAGGGAGAAUUCCCGGUGGUGCGGUUAAAUGCGGAGAGAACGGGAGGAAUACCAGUGGGGAAGGCCGGCUUUCGGAAUGACAACGGAGGCGGGGUGGCAAAGCGUGGGUAGCAAACAGGAUUAGAUACCCGGGUAGUC
Molecule: ribosomal RNA, 466 nt
Filed under: Vreelandella stevensii
Lineage: Bacteria; Pseudomonadati; Pseudomonadota; Gammaproteobacteria; Oceanospirillales; Halomonadaceae
Description: partial 16S ribosomal RNA
Rfam family: Bacterial small subunit ribosomal RNA
Source: RNAcentral